This 497-nucleotide ribosomal RNA is filed under the name uncultured bacterium. RNAcentral describes it as "partial 16S ribosomal RNA". It matches the Rfam family "Bacterial small subunit ribosomal RNA", at positions 28 to 507 of the family's 1533-position model. The record is from RNAcentral.
GAUGAACGCUGGCGGCGUGCCUAAUACAUGCAAGUCGAGCGAACAGACGAGGAGCUUGCUCCUCUGACGUUAGCGGCGGACGGGUGAGUAACACGUGGAUAACCUACCUAUAAGACUGGGAUAACUUCGGGAAACCGGAGCUAAUACCGGAUAAUAUAUUGAACCGCAUGGUUCAAUAGUGAAAGACGGUUUUGCUGUCACUUAUAGAUGGAUCCGCGCCGCAUUAGCUAGUUGGUAAGGUAACGGCUUACCAAGGCAACGAUGCGUAGCCGACCUGAGAGGGUGAUCGGCCACACUGGAACUGAGACACGGUCCAGACUCCUACGGGAGGCAGCAGUAGGGAAUCUUCCGCAAUGGGCGGAAGCCUUACGGAGCAACGCCGCGUGAGUGAUGAAGGUCUUCGGAUCGUAAAACUCUGUUAUUAGGGAAGAACAAAUGUGUAAGUAACUAUGCACGUCUUGACGGUACCUAAUCAGAAAGCCACGGCUAACUACGUG